UGAGGCAGGAGAAUUGCUUGAACCCAGGAGGUGGAGGUUGCAGUGAGCCGAGAUCGAGCCACUGCACUCCAGCCUGGGUGACAGAGUAAGACUCCAUCUC
This 100-nucleotide microRNA precursor is filed under the name Gorilla gorilla gorilla (western lowland gorilla). RNAcentral describes it as "miRNA (ENSGGOG00000038413.1)". Lineage: Eukaryota; Metazoa; Chordata; Mammalia; Primates; Hominidae. The record is from RNAcentral.